ACGGAAGGCAGCAGUGGGGAAUAUUGGACAAUGGGGGCAACCCUGAUCCAGCGGCGCCGCGUGAGUGAAGAAGUAUUUCGGUAUGUAAAGCUCUAUCAGCAGGGAAGAUGAUGACGGUACCUGACUAAGAAGCCCCGGCUAACUACGUGCCAGCAGCCGCGGUAAUACGUAGGGGGCAAGCGUUAUCCGGAUUUACUGGGUGUAAGGGAGCGUAGGCGGUCAGACAAGUCAGAUGUGAAAGCCCGGGGCUCAACUCCGGGACUGCAUUUGAAACUGUAGGACUAGAGUACUGGAGAGGCAAGCGGAAUUCCUAGUGUAGCGGUGAAAUGCGUAGAUAUUAGGAAGAACACCGGUGGCGAAGGCGGCUUGCUGGACAGAGACUGACGCUGAGGCUCGAAAGCGUGGGGAGCAAACAGGAUUAGAUACCCUGGUA
RNAcentral lists this ribosomal RNA (433 nucleotides) under uncultured Lachnospiraceae bacterium. RNAcentral's name for it is "partial 16S ribosomal RNA". It matches the Rfam family "Bacterial small subunit ribosomal RNA", at positions 341 to 792 of the family's 1533-position model. Lineage: Bacteria; Bacillati; Bacillota; Clostridia; Lachnospirales; Lachnospiraceae. The record is from RNAcentral.